This 205-nucleotide ribosomal RNA is filed under the name uncultured bacterium. RNAcentral's name for it is "partial 16S ribosomal RNA". It matches the Rfam family "Bacterial small subunit ribosomal RNA", at positions 1297 to 1500 of the family's 1533-position model. The record is from RNAcentral.
AUUGGAGUCUGCAACUCGACUCCAUGAAGCUGGAUUCGCUAGUAAUCGCGCAUCAGCCAUGGCGCGGUGAAUACGUUCCCGGGCCUUGUACACACCGCCCGUCAAACCAUGAGAGUUGGCAACACCCGAAGUCGGUAGUCUAACCGCAAGGAGGACGCCGCCGAAGGUGGGGUUGAUGAUUAGGGUUAAGUCGUAACAAGGUAAC